CCUAAAGGCAGUUUGGCACCUGUACAGUCUUCAUAAGAAUGCAGCAAUGCUUCAUGGACAAAUUGCUCACAUCUGACACGUGGCAUGUGUCCAAAGUGCAUUGAAAGUAGUGUGGUCACAUUUGCAAUUAAAACAGGCAGCACCAGCAUAUUUAGUUAAAAUUCAAUAAAUUAAUGGCUUUCUACAUAUAUUAAUUACACAGUGCACACAUGGUUAAACAGAU
This is a non-coding RNA of Pelobates cultripes (western spadefoot toad), 223 nucleotides long. The record is from the annotation of a GenBank genome assembly. Lineage: Eukaryota; Metazoa; Chordata; Amphibia; Anura; Pelobatidae.